Molecule: transfer RNA, 77 nt
Filed under: Podoviridae sp. ctIKM86
Lineage: Duplodnaviria; Heunggongvirae; Uroviricota; Caudoviricetes
Description: tRNA-Met
Rfam family: tRNA
About the family: Transfer RNA (tRNA) molecules are approximately 80 nucleotides in length. Their secondary structure includes four short double-helical elements and three loops (D, anti-codon, and T loops). Further hydrogen bonds mediate the characteristic L-shaped molecular structure. tRNAs have two regions of fundamental functional importance: the anti-codon, which is responsible for specific mRNA codon recognition, and the 3' end, to which the tRNAs corresponding amino acid is attached (by aminoacyl-tRNA synthetases). tRNAs cope with the degeneracy of the genetic code in two manners: having more than one tRNA (with a specific anti-codon) for a particular amino acid; and 'wobble' base-pairing, i.e. permitting non-standard base-pairing at the 3rd anti-codon position.
Source: RNAcentral
GGCCCAGUAGCUCAGGUGGUUAGAGCAGACGACUCAUAAUCGUUUGGUCAUAGGUUCGAUUCCUAUUUGGGCCACCA